AUCGAACGCUGGCGGCAGGCCUAACACAUGCAAGUCGAACGAGUGGCGGACGGGUGAGUAAUGUCUGGGCAACUGCCUGAUGGAGGGGGAUAACUACUGGAAACGGUAGCUAAUACCGCCUACCAUCAGCUGUGCCCAGAUGGGAUUGGCUAGUUGGGGGGGUAAGGGCUCACAAAGGCGACGAUCCCUCGCUGGUCCGAGAGGAUGACGUGCCAAACUGGAACGGAGACACGGUCAAGACGCCUAGGGGAGGAAGCAGUGGGGAAUAUUGCACAAGGGGCGCAAGCCUGAUGCAGCCAUGCCGCGUGUAUGAAGAGGGCCUUCGGGUUGUAAAGUACUUUCAGCGGGGAGGCGUUACCCGCAGAGGAAGCACCGGCUAACUCCGUGCCAGCAGCCGCGGUAAUUC
Molecule: ribosomal RNA, 406 nt
Filed under: uncultured bacterium
Lineage: Bacteria
Description: partial 16S ribosomal RNA
Rfam family: Bacterial small subunit ribosomal RNA
Source: RNAcentral